This 814-nucleotide ribosomal RNA is filed under the name uncultured Arthrobacter sp. Its description in RNAcentral is "bacterial SSU rRNA". It matches the Rfam family "Bacterial small subunit ribosomal RNA", at positions 67 to 884 of the family's 1533-position model. The record is from RNAcentral. Lineage: Bacteria; Bacillati; Actinomycetota; Actinomycetes; Micrococcales; Micrococcaceae.
CGAUGAACCGCUUGCGGGGGAUUAGUGGCGAACGGGUGAGUAACACGUGAGUAACCUGCCCUUAACUCUGGGAUAAGCCUUGGAAACGGGGUCUAAUACUGGAUAUUGACUUUACCUCGCAUGGGGUUUUGUUGAAAGAUUUAUUGGUUUUGGAUGGACUCGCGGCCUAUCAGCUUGUUGGUGAGGUAAUGGCUCACCAAGGCGACGACGGGUAGCCGGCCUGAGAGGGUGACCGGCCACACUGGGACUGAGACACGGCCCAGACUCCUACGGGAGGCAGCAGUGGGGAAUAUUGCACAAUGGGCGAAAGCCUGAUGCAGCGACGCCGCGUGAGGGAUGACGGCCUUCGGGUUGUAAACUUCUUUCAGUAGGGAACAAGGCCAGCAUUUUUGUUGGUUGAGGGUACUUGCAGAAGAAGCGCCGGCUAACUACGUGCCAGCAGCCGCGGUAAUACGUAGGGCGCAAGCGUUAUCCGGAAUUAUUGGGCGUAAAGAGCUCGUAGGCGGUUUGUCGCGUCUGCCGUGAAAGUCCGGGGCUCAACUCCGGAUCUGCGGUGGGUACGGGCAGACUAGAGUGAUGUAGGGGAGACUGGAAUUCCUGGUGUAGCGGUGAAAUGCGCAGAUAUCAGGAGGAACACCGAUGGCGAAGGCAGGUCUCUGGGCAUUAACUGACGCUGAGGAGCGAAAGCAUGGGGAGCGAACAGGAUUAGAUACCCUGGUAGUCCAUGCCGUANACGUUGGGCACUAGGUGUGGGGGACAUUNCACGUUUUCCGCGCCGUAGCUAACGCAUUAAGUGCCCCGCCUGGGGAGUACG